UUUCUGAAGUACAUAAAGUGCAUUCGUCGAUUCUUGCGAUGAGUAAAACUAUUUAAAAAAUAAGUUCCAUUAAAGUUUAUGUGACUGAAGCCCCUGCACCACGUCUAGGUGCAGUAUGUUCGCAGAAAUAAUUUUUUAUAUUUAAAAUAGAAAUAUUCGUUUCUUUAUGACAAUAGGCUGAAUCGGAAGAAAACCAAGUCCAUUUCCCACAUACUGCUGCUUUGGACCACACCAGUAACUAUAGCACAAAAAUCAUUAACUGUGUGAUAUUUACACCUCCAUGACUUUCACACAUAACAAUUGAGCUAACAGCAGACAGGAGGAAAUUAUAAUUACAUGUAGCUCAUUCUAGCAUUCGAAGGUCCAAA
Molecule: long non-coding RNA, 368 nt
Organism: Bactrocera neohumeralis
Lineage: Eukaryota; Metazoa; Arthropoda; Insecta; Diptera; Tephritidae
Exons: 3
Source: RefSeq, a predicted model, not a curated record